Long non-coding RNA from Carassius carassius (crucian carp), 1594 nucleotides. RefSeq lists it as uncharacterized. The transcript is spliced from 2 exons. The record is from RefSeq and is a predicted model, not a curated record. Lineage: Eukaryota; Metazoa; Chordata; Actinopteri; Cypriniformes; Cyprinidae.
AGGUCUUCCUUUCUCAGUUAUUCUCUUUUUUCUGCAAAAGAGCACCUUACAAAAGCAUUUUAGUAGAUUGGCAACAAGAUCUGUAGGCUGUAUUUUCUUUUCAUUGAAUUUCACUUUCGUACCUCGGAAAUCCCUGACUAAAAGGGCAGUCUAAUGCUGGGGGUAGCACUGGGCACGUCUCUAGAGCCAGAGGGUGUGCUGUCAUUGAACGUCAAAAUUUGAUUGGCUGAUGAUUCUGUCCCUAAUGCUCAUAACAAAUCAGAUAUGACUUCUUUCAUCAAAAGGGUAGCACCAUCUGUAGUGCUGGCCAUAGACUUUUUUUAAUGUAGGAUAUUCAGUCAAGUCAACCUCAACUUAACUAAUCACAAGCAAUUUGUGGAUAUUACACAAAUGAAAAUGAUAACUAAAUAAUCAGUAAAAACAUUUUUCACACAAUUUUGUUUUUUAUAGGGCCAGCAGAGAAGGCCCUGCUCACCCUGAAGGCCCACCACUGCUGUCAGACAACAUCUCCAAGAUGCUAUAAACUGCCGGACUAGAUAGCCAUCCCAAGGUUACUAGAGAUUACACCAGCUCCAAACUGAAUUCAAACUCACUUGUGAAGACUUCAGACGAUGCCAACGCUCACAAAGACUACAGACGACGGCGACUGUACAUGAACACACAAAACAUUGGACACACAAAACAAAUAUUAUCCUUAUUUUGCCUAUAAGGGUAAAUUUGAUGAUUUUCAACCUGCUUUAUUGCAAUGUCUCUUAUAUCUGUAAAUAAACAAUAUUUACUGUCUGAGUUAUGUGGAGCUACAUGUCCCCUUUUAUUUGUAAGCAGCACUCUGCAGGAUGAUGCAAAAUGAAAUGAGAAGUUUUGCGGAAAUGACACAAUGCAGUAUCUAAAUGAAAACAUGCUGUUUUGCAUCAGUUUUGCUGGCAAAUAAACUGUAUCUUGGAGAAAGAAUAAACAUUGUUCUUUUACAAAUGUUACCAACAUUGUAACAAUGCAAAAUGGAUUGAAUAUUUUUUUACUUACCCUUUAAAAUUUUUGAAAGACAAUGUUAAUGUUAACUGAACACAAAACUAGAGACUUGUUUAGUAAGAUUUUAUCAGAAAAUAUUUUAGAAUUUUUAUCAUGCAAUUUGACAUUUUAAUUGCUUAAUUAUUGUUUGGUUUUAUUUUGUGUUAAUGUAACUUUUUUAAAAGUUUUUGGCAUAAAGUUAGCCUGCAAUGCUGACAGCAAUGAAAACAUGACUUUUUAUUAUGAACUAGAACAUGGUCUUCCCCAGUCAGUCUCAGUCACCUCUGGCUUUUUAAACUGUAACCUUGAAACAUGCAUUUUCCGUAAACCUACUUUGAAAUAAGUAUUGUGAAAAAAUUGCUAUACUCAUACAACAUUUAACCAUGCAAGUACUGUAGUAAUGGUUAUUUUUGUUUUUACUAUAGUUUUACUGCAAAAGCUGUUGUAAAAUCAUGGUUAAUUUUCAAAAGACUACAAAUAACCCCGAAUUAUCCACUUUUGAUCAAAGCAUCUGGUAAAUGUUAAUGUAUUUGUACAUGUAAUAUGAAAUAAAUGAAAAUAUUAAUAAAGUGGCAUCGGUUCUUGA